GGGCUGGUAGCUGAGACGGUCUAGCGCUGGUCUGAAGAGCCGGAGACGUGGAUUCGAGCGCCACCCAGCCCA
This 72-nucleotide transfer RNA is filed under the name Planctomycetota bacterium. Its description in RNAcentral is "Planctomycetes bacterium (freshwater metagenome) tRNA-Phe". It matches the Rfam family "tRNA". From Rfam's summary of the family: Transfer RNA (tRNA) molecules are approximately 80 nucleotides in length. Their secondary structure includes four short double-helical elements and three loops (D, anti-codon, and T loops). Lineage: Bacteria; Pseudomonadati; Planctomycetota. The record is from RNAcentral.